AAGAAAAGGUUCUUCUUUUUUUUCUCUUUUCAGUUCCUUUCCGAUUGCUUUUCUUUUUUGUUUUUCUGUUCGCUAUUAAUCAUGUAUAGGCACAUUUAUAAAAUAAAAGGGGAAAGGGUUUAGAAACAUUACCUGGUCCGGUGCGUCGCCGAAUCCCCAUCCGUUCAAGAUUGAAUAGGCGAGGGGGGAGGCUUUCGUUGCUAAAGCGGCGUAGAGGGUUGAAGUCUGGUGUCCGUGUGUCAACAGACUGGUUUUAGGGUUAGGAGGGGUCUUUUAUAGUGCGGAAAACGACAUUGUUUAGGGCCUGUUUCAGUGGCCCUAAAACGGCGCCGUAUCGGUCGAUUAACCCCAGCAACCCGCACUGUGACCCGACCCGGGGGAAGGAUCCGCGCGCUUUGGGUCUGAUGGGAUUAUUGCGCAAUGAACCCCUCCACAUUUGCUUUCAUUUUAUUCGAUUUUUAUUCAUUUUUUAAUUGUUACCUCAUAUUUAGUUCCCAAUUUCAAUUAGAUCCAUGUUUGAACGGCGUCGUUUUCAUUGAUUGGGUUUGAAGGCCUGGUUUUGUGUGUCUAAAUUGCAGCAAUGGUCCCUCUGAUGUGUAAUGGUUCUCGAUUUGGUUGUCUUCACACUUAUUUCAAAGACGUCCCUGAGAUUUUGUUUUAUCUUUGAAAUUGUCAUUGUCUUCUUUUAAUUUAUAAUGCUAUUGUUGUUAUUAUUAUUAUUGUUAUUAUUACUAUUAUUAAUAUAGGUAUUGUUAUCGUGUUG
RNAcentral lists this long non-coding RNA (763 nucleotides) under Gossypium barbadense (sea-island cotton). RNAcentral describes it as "long non-coding RNA (GBAR_LNC018381)". The record is from RNAcentral. Lineage: Eukaryota; Viridiplantae; Streptophyta; Magnoliopsida; Malvales; Malvaceae.